CUAUCCUCCCGGCGUCGCGGUCAAUCCCGCGACCGGGUUUGACAGCCCGAACU
RNAcentral lists this non-coding RNA (53 nucleotides) under Pseudomonas sp. FeS53a. Lineage: Bacteria; Pseudomonadati; Pseudomonadota; Gammaproteobacteria; Pseudomonadales; Pseudomonadaceae. The record is from RNAcentral.